Molecule: ribosomal RNA, 497 nt
Filed under: uncultured bacterium
Lineage: Bacteria
Description: partial 16S ribosomal RNA
Rfam family: Bacterial small subunit ribosomal RNA
Source: RNAcentral
GAUGAACGCUGGCGGCGUGCCUAAUACAUGCAAGUCGAGCGAACGGACGAGAAGCUUGCUUCUCUGAUGUUAGCGGCGGAAGGGUGAGUAACACGUGGAUAACCUACCUAUAAGACUGGGAUAACUUCGGGAAACCGUAGCUAAUACCGGAUAAUAUUUUGAACCGCAUGGUUCAAAAGUGAAAGACGGUCUUGCUGUCACUUAUAGAUGGAUCCGCGCUGCAUUAGCUAGUUGGUAAGGUAACGGCUUACCAAGGCAACGAUGCAUAGCCGACCUGAGAGGGUGAUCGGCCACACUGGAACUGAGACACGGUCCAGACUCCUACGGGAGGCAGCAGUAGGGAAUCUUCCGCAAUGGGCGAAAGCCUGACGGAGCAACGCCGCGUGAGUGAUGAAGGUCUUCGGAUCGUAAAACUCUGUUAUUAGGGAAGAACAUAUGUGUAAGUAACUGUGCACGUCUUGACGGUACCUAAUCAGAAAGCCACGGCUAACUACGUG